This 837-nucleotide ribosomal RNA is filed under the name uncultured bacterium. Its description in RNAcentral is "bacterial SSU rRNA". It matches the Rfam family "Bacterial small subunit ribosomal RNA", at positions 53 to 886 of the family's 1533-position model. The record is from RNAcentral.
ACAUGCAAGUCGAACGGUAACAGGUCUUCGGAUGCUGACGAGUGGCGCACGGGUGAGUAACGCGUGGAUAUCUGCCUAUUAGUGGGGGACAACUUAUGGAAACGUAAGCUAAUACCGCAUAAUCCCUACGGGGGAAAGCAGGGGACCUUCGGGCCUUGUGCUGAUAGAUGAGUCCGCGUCUGAUUAGCUAGUUGGUAAGGUAAAGGCUUACCAAGGCGAUGAUCAGUAUCUGGUUUGAGAGGAUGAUCAGACACACUGGAACUGAGACACGGUCCAGACUCCUACGGGAGGCAGCAGUGGGGAAUAUUGCACAAUGGAGGAAACUCUGAUGCAGCGACGCCGCGUGUGGGAAGAAGGCUUUCGGGUUGUAAACCACUUUCAAUUGGGAAGAAGAGAUGAGGUUUAAUACACUUCUGAUUUGACGGUACCUUUAGAAGAAGCACCGGCUAAUUUCGUGCCAGCAGCCGCGGUAAUACGAAAGGUGCAAGCGUUGUUCGGAUUUACUGGGCGUAAAGAGAGUGUAGGUUGUUUAUUAAGUCGGAUGUGAAAUCCCGGGGCUCAACCUCGGAACUGCAUUCGAUACUGGUAGACUAGAGUUCGGGAGGGGUAAGCGGAAUUCCGCGUGUAGCAGUGAAAUGCGUAGAUAUGCGGAGGAACACCUGAGGCGAAGGCGGCUUACUGGACCGAUACUGACACUGAGACUCGAAAGCGUGGGUAGCAAACAGGAUUAGAUACCCUGGUAGUCCACGCCCUAAACGAUGUCAACUAGCCGUUGCGGGUAUCGACCCCUGCAGUGGCGAAGCUAACGCGAUAAGUUGACCGCCUGGGGAGUACGGU